GGAAGUGGGGAUGACGUCAAAUCAUCAUGCCCCUUAUGUUCUGGGCUACACACGUGCUACAAUGGCCGGUACAGACGGACGCAAAGCCGCGAGGUGGAGCAAAUCCUAAAAAGCCGGUCUCAGUUCGGAUUGCAGGCUGCAAUUCGCCUGCAUGAAGUCGGAAUCGCUAGUAAUCGCAGGUCAGCAUACCUGCGGUCGAAUACGUUCCCGGGCCUU
Molecule: ribosomal RNA, 216 nt
Filed under: uncultured Bacillus sp.
Lineage: Bacteria; Bacillati; Bacillota; Bacilli; Caryophanales; Bacillaceae
Description: partial 16S ribosomal RNA
Rfam family: Bacterial small subunit ribosomal RNA
Source: RNAcentral